Molecule: long non-coding RNA, 707 nt
Organism: Halichondria panicea
Lineage: Eukaryota; Metazoa; Porifera; Demospongiae; Suberitida; Halichondriidae
Exons: 2
Source: RefSeq, a predicted model, not a curated record
CAGAGGCGGAUCUAGACAUUAGAAAAGGGUGGUUCCUAAAAGCAAUUGGUAAAAGGAUAACGAGCCCGAAGGGUGAGUGUUAAGCCGCGCGCAGCGCGAAAAAUUGGACAACGCCCAUUUCCGGUGUCGUUUCCUGUCACCUGAGUGCUAGGCCGAGGGCUAGGGAGGUCUAUUAUAGUACCGUAGUAGAUGUAACAUUAUGUCUAGCUAUAGCUAUGGCUCCAGUGCAGUGAUAGUAAGAUCAAGAAGUUAAACAAAAGCUGGUUGCAUCGGUCACGAUUGAUUUUCAUUAAAGCAAGUGAACCCAAUCUCGAUUCCGACAUGGUAGCACGUCGGGCUGUCUUGAUACUUGUGAUCUCUUGUUAAACUCUUAAUAUCUACCCUGAGUUAAGGAGUUUCCCAAUGUCGCAAUCAUCACUUGAGGUAGCACCACCUAAGCCACACCGGAUAACGCAGUCACCCUCCUCCAUAUCAAGUUCACUGUCUGAAUCUUCAGUGUCAUUGGGGACGUCAGUAGGGGGAGAUGAAGGGGGAGACGAGUCAGCGGGGCUGACAAUAGCAUCCUGUGACUCUGAACCUACAAUUGAAGUUGUUUUUAUUUAUAAGUUUUGUUGUUUAUUUAUCAUAAUUUAUAUGAUUUGGAUUUUUAUUUAUGUGAAACCGUACCUGCUUUACUCUUUUUGAAAAAUGUUGAAAUUGGCACUUGA